GAUGAACGCUAGCUACAGGCUUAACACAUGCAAGUCGAGGGGCAGCGGGAUUGAAGCUUGCUUCAAUUGCCGGCGACCGGCGCACGGGUGAGUAACGCGUAUCCAACCUUCCGUACACUCAGGGAUAGCCUUUCGAAAGAAAGAUUAAUACCUGAUGGUAUGAUGAGAUUGCAUGAUAGCAUCAUUAAAGGUAUUCCGGUAGACGAUGGGGAUGCGUUCCAUUAGAUAGUAGGCGGGGUAACGGCCCACCUAGUCUUCGAUGGAUAGGGGUUCUGAGAGGAAGGUCCCCCANAUUGGAACUGAGACACGGUCCAAACUCCUACGGGAGGCAGCAGUGAGGAAUAUUGGUCAAUGGGCGAGAGCCUGAACCAGCCAAGUAGCGUGAAGGAUGACUGCCCUAUGGGUUGUAAACUUCUUUUAUAAAGGAUAAAGUCGGGUAUGCAUACCCGUUUGCAUGUACUUAUGAAUAAGGAUCGGCUAACUCCGUGCC
RNAcentral lists this ribosomal RNA (490 nucleotides) under uncultured bacterium. Its description in RNAcentral is "bacterial SSU rRNA". It matches the Rfam family "Bacterial small subunit ribosomal RNA", at positions 28 to 509 of the family's 1533-position model. The record is from RNAcentral.